ACACAUCCGGGAUUACGAGCUUUGCCUCACAAAAAAAAUACAAACCGCGCGAAAAUUCAAAUUUUUGCUCUUUUGACAGCGCUGAGAAACCUUCGAAUAGUGACGAGAAGACCAGACGUAUCCCUUCGUGACAAGCUGCUACUUGUUCUUUUCAGCUCGAGCCUUUUUUGGGAGCUACUCUGGUACAUCGUCCACACUGCUGCCAAGUCUCGACUUCCCAAAAUGGAUGGAAGUGACGAAUAUGGAGGACGCUAUCCUAGGUAAGUAACGUGAUGGAAUUUUCUCAUCUUGACAUGGUGUAACACGAACCUGAAUUUCUCAUUUGGACCCACUCGGACACCUCACCAAGUUGGGAUAUUUCGAAACUAUACCUAUUUGUCUACCAUUCUACUUCAUCUCAACGUGUUAGCUAAUGUAACUCUUUGGAAAACUCAUUCCGAAAAUUUUGAAACUUAUUUAUUUGUAUAGACUUGAACAUAAUGUUCAAGAUCACUUGUUUUCAGCACUGAAUGAGGCCAGGCCUGCUUGCUUUGUUGCUUUUUUAACCCCCAGAACCCGUGGACAGAAGAGGAAGAGCGACGACUUGGGUGCGGCAGCGAAGUCUGCCUGCCCAACGCCAAUUGCUCCUCACCCAAAAACGCACCCCAUUGACGAAGAUCAUCCUUGUAUAGACGAUGAUAAAUACUCUCAUCUGACAAGAACACGUCAUCAGAAGUCACUGCCUGCUGCGAAUAACAGCGCAUCGUGUAUGAGAAUCUCUUCACCAACAAGUAGACACAAAUAUACACCCACACACCUACACACACCCUCGUGUACUUGUACACCACACACGCGCGCGCACGUGCGCAUACAUACAACUAUUCAUCUUUAUCCUUUUGUGUUUGACAUGAUUCCACGGUGCCAUGAAAGUAACAUCUUUACUUAUAAAGAAGAGGCACCUGUGACGUGUGUGUGUGUGUGUGUGUGUGUGUGUGUGUGUGUGUGUGUGUGUGUGUGU
This is a long non-coding RNA of Sycon ciliatum, 997 nucleotides long. RefSeq lists it as uncharacterized. NCBI's taxonomy places the organism in Eukaryota, Metazoa, Porifera, Calcarea, Leucosolenida, Sycettidae. The transcript is spliced from 3 exons. The record is from RefSeq and is a predicted model, not a curated record.